UAGGGAAUAUUGGUCAAUGGGCGAAAGCCUGAACCAGCCAUGCCGCGUGCAGGAUGAAGGCCCUCUGGGUUGUAAACUGCUUUUAUAUGGAAAUAAAAAAACCCUUGCGAGGGUUCUUGAAGGUACCAUAAGAAUAAGCACCGGCUAACUCCGUGCCAGCAGCCGCGGUAAUACGGAGGGUGCAAGCGUUAUCCGGAUUUACUGGGUUUAAAGGGUGCGUAGGCGGCUCUUUAAGUCAGUGGUGAAAUCCUAGUGCUCAACACUAGAACUGCCAUUGAAACUGAAGAGCUUGAGUCAAGGAGAGGUAAGCAGAAUUUAUGGUGUAGCAGUGAAAUGCUUAGAUACCAUAAGGAAUACCGACAGCGAAGGCAGCUUACUGGCCUUGCACUGACGCUGAGGC
Molecule: ribosomal RNA, 400 nt
Filed under: uncultured bacterium
Lineage: Bacteria
Description: bacterial SSU rRNA
Rfam family: Bacterial small subunit ribosomal RNA
Source: RNAcentral